Folsomia candida is the source of this 2502-nucleotide long non-coding RNA. RefSeq lists it as uncharacterized. The transcript is spliced from 2 exons. The record is from RefSeq and is a predicted model, not a curated record. Lineage: Eukaryota; Metazoa; Arthropoda; Collembola; Entomobryomorpha; Isotomidae.
UCUGAAGUUUGCGAUCCGAAAAGCGGUUCGUCGUGGUGGAGAGCUGUUGAAUGAAAGAAGAGAAGCCAAGCCAGCCCAACUAACAACGCAAGGGAAGAAAGAACCCAGCACUACGGCGGAAAUAGGGACACAUGUUUGGAUGGUUUGUUCAUUGGCAACCCUAUUUUACUUUCUGCUCUUCUGCAUGCAUGUCUACGAGGACAAGGAUUGCAUCAGGGUAGGUUAGCAGGCAGAGAACCAUUGUUACAGGAAAUAAUGAACCCAUGAAAGGUUGCCUUUAAAAGCAUUCAUUUCAGCCGUGGCAGUUUCCCUUUGCUGCUUCUCCAUCUCUUUUCCCGCAGCAGAAACAGAGGAUGGAAUGGAAAGUAAGUGAGGGUAGUAAGUGAGUUAGCAGGCAGAGCAAAUAGAUUGGUUUUAGUUUCGGAUGGAAAAUGGAAAUAAAUGUUCAACUACGACUGCCUGAGAACAGGCGGUAGUAAAACGAGGGUGUUCACAAUGUGUUCCAUUUCAGCGUUUCGAUACUCGUCCCCGUCAUUUCACCGUGCUUCCACCGAGUCUUACUUUUCUACAGGGAUGUACACAUACAUAGACAAAUAUAUCUCCAUGAUUGUCGUCGUACGAAGAAGUUGACCAUCAGAGGACUAAAAAAUGUGGCAUAUGUACAUACAUACGAGGGCUCAGCGCACAACCCACGCGGAAUGAACGAGGGGAAGUGGGAUCUGUUGUGGGGAAUGUUGUUCUUGAGAUUGUAAAUACUUUAUUGUAAUACUUGACUACCAGACGUUGUUGGAGUUUCAGGCUAAUUUCGUGGAUCCUUAAACCAGUUCAUAGAAUGCUUGCGAGUACAAGAGGAAAUAGGGGGGAAGCACUCACUCGACGUUACAGGAAGGAAGGGGAAUGCAAGAAGUGGGGGCUGCAGCUAGAUUUGGGAUUCGGGAAGGGUCAAGCAGAAUCAUUCGUCUAAAGAGUCAUUUCAUUUUCAUUGCAGUUGGAGAAACGGGGCUUCUACAACUUUAUGGAGUGGAGUAGUAAAAGCCAGUUUAUUGACGAGUAGCCAGGUGAAGAAAUUCCGGUCAUCUCGUCCAUACAACGACCACCACUUGACCACUACUAACACAGUGUAAUUUAUACUGUCAUUUGGCUUGUGAUCACUUAAAAGAAAAAGUUUGCUUAAUUAAAUUUGAUGCUAAAAAAACUAAACCUUAGGGGCACACAUAUUUAUGUACAUGCAUGCAUACUAAAGAUAAGUAUCUCGUAGAUAAUAAUAACUUUGCUCUGAAUUAAAUAUUGGUCUCUAAACUAAAACCGUUGUUGGUUCGGAGUCUUAGCUUAACUCAAGCUGAUUUGGGUCACACUUUGGCGUUCACUAUUCAAUAACGAUAAUUAACGUCAUCGUUUGUUCAGAUAAUUAAUCGGAAACAAUGGUUGGUUUAAUAAUGUCCAUCAUCAUUAUUAAAAAUGUAGGUGUGUUGAAACAUCCUAAAUUUUUAACGUUUAAGUCACCACAAAAAUAUAUUGUAAACAAAAUUAGACGAAAUUUCCAUCACCUGUAUGUAUACGAAUGAAAUGCUUUAAAUCCUACUGAAUAGAAAAACAAUCCCGUUUUAACUCUCACAUUACACCGCAAUAUAUCUUGAAAACAUUUAUCAUCUUUUAAUGGGCCUCUAACAGCUAGAUUUCUCCUUGGUUGAAGAGGAAAGCGAAGGACAAUAAAUAAAUCGAGUGGAAAGAUUACUUCCCAGCUCUGCUGAAGAGCAGGAUAAUUCCAAGUCAGUAAUGCAAUCGGUAGUGUAAUCUUUUCCGUGGACUUGGGUACACAUAGGUACAGGAUGUUUCAAUUGCAGGCUACCUAUUGUGUGACGAAUGCAUAUUUGAUUGGUUUCGGUGAUUAUAGGAGCCAGGUAACCUAUUUUUAAUCGGAAAGUUAUCAGAGGACCGGCCUUCAGACGUCGUCUUUGAGCAUUAUGAAAAAAAUCAUUGGACAUCUUCGUCUAAUAUAAUCCUCUACAAUACUAUGUAGCCAUGCAUAUUCUACAUAGUAGGAGAUUAGUAUCCCGGGGUAUAAUUUUUAUGUAGGGAAAGCAUUAUGCCGGGAGAACAUCGUCGUUGACCUACAACCCAGCUCAUUCUACCAAAUCCACCGACAAAAAAGCACUCCAAGUCCAACUCCAGCAUUUCCGUUCUCUUGGAUCUUCUACUCAAGUGGGAAGUAGAAAGGUAUUGAAAUAAUAAACAAGACUUCCAUCAGAAACCAAAAGAGGAAUGAAAACAAGCCGAACCGAGAGCCAAGCGAGUACAAUUUAAAUUCUGGCAAACAUGACUAAAUGAAAAUCGGAAAUUUCUCUUGUUAUGUAUGUAACGUAUUGCCAAAAAGUGGCGUGUUUUCCCAUUGGACUCGUACUACAAAAGAUUCCAGAUAGCGAGAAAGCGAGCAAAGCUUCUUUCUUUGCCACGCAGAACGAAAAAUCCAGAAUAAAUUAAUUUCAAUCUGUAAGAAUUAAA